This 253-nucleotide ribosomal RNA is filed under the name uncultured bacterium. Its description in RNAcentral is "partial 16S ribosomal RNA". It matches the Rfam family "Bacterial small subunit ribosomal RNA", at positions 524 to 776 of the family's 1533-position model. The record is from RNAcentral.
UACGUAGGGUGCAAGCGUUGUCCGGAAUUAUUGGGCGUAAAGAGCUCGUAGGCGGUCUGUCGCGUCGGCUGUGAAAACCUGGGGCUUAACUCCGGGCCUGCAGCCGAUACGGGCAGACUAGAGUUCGGCAGGGGAGACUGGAAUUCCUGGUGUAGCGGUGAAAUGCGCAGAUAUCAGGAGGAACACCGGUGGCGAAGGCGGGUCUCUGGGCCGAUACUGACGCUGAGGAGCGAAAGCAUGGGUAGCGAACAGG